This 492-nucleotide ribosomal RNA is filed under the name uncultured bacterium. RNAcentral's name for it is "partial 16S ribosomal RNA". It matches the Rfam family "Bacterial small subunit ribosomal RNA", at positions 29 to 507 of the family's 1533-position model. The record is from RNAcentral.
AGUGAACGCUGGCGGUAGGCCUAACACAUGCAAGUCGAACGGCAGCACAGUAAGAUCUUGCUCUUACGGGUGGCGAGUGGCGGACGGGUGAGGAAUACAUCGGCAUCUACUUUUUCGUGGGGGAUAACGUAGGGAAACUUACGCUACUACCGCAUACGACGUACGGGUGAAAGCAGGGGAUCUUCGGACCUUGCGCGAUUGAAUGAGCCGAUGUCGGAUUAGCUAGUUGGCGGGGUAAAGGCCCACCAAGGCGACGAUCCGUAGCUGAUCUGAGAGGAUGAUCAGCCACACUGGAACUGAGACACGGUCCAGACUCCUACGGGAGGCAGCAGUGGGGAAUAUUGGACAAUGGGCGCAAGCCUGAUCCAGCCAUACCGCGUGGGUGAAGAAGGCCUUCGGGUUGUAAAGCCCUUUUGUUGGGAAAGAAAAGCAGCAGAUUAAUACCCCGCUGUUCUGACGGUACCCAAAGAAUAAGCACCGGCUAACUUCGUG